GAAUCUGCGAAUGGCUCAUUAAAUCAGUUGUCGUUUAUUUGAUAGUACCUUACUACUUGGAUAACCGUGGUAAUUCUAGAGCUAAUACAUGCUAAAAACCCCGACUUCGGAAGGGGUGUAUUUAUUAGAUAAAAAACCAAUGCUCUUCGGGGCUCCUUGGUGAUUCAUAAUAACUUAACGAAUCGCAUGGCCUUGUGCCGGCGAUGGUUCAUUCAAAUUUCUGCCCUAUCAACUUUCGAUGGUAGGAUAGUGGCCUACUAUGGUUUCAACGGGUAACGGGGAAUUAGGGUUCUAUUCCGGAGAGGGAGCCUGAGAAACGGCUACCACAUCCAAGGAAGGCAGCAGGCGCGCAAAUUACCCAAUCCCGACACGGGGAGGUAGUGACAAUAAAUACUGAUACAGGGCUCUUUUGAGUCUUGUAAUUGGAAUGAGUACAAUUUAAAUCCCUUAACGAGGAACAAUUGGAGGGCAAGUCUGGUGCCAGCAGCCGCGGUAAUUCCAGCUCCAAUAGCGUAUAUUAAAGUUGUUGCAGUUAAAAAGCUCGUAGUAGAACCUUGGGCCUGGCUGGCCGGUCCGCCUCAC
RNAcentral lists this ribosomal RNA (582 nucleotides) under uncultured fungus. Its description in RNAcentral is "SSU rRNA". It matches the Rfam family "Eukaryotic small subunit ribosomal RNA", at positions 83 to 668 of the family's 1831-position model. Lineage: Eukaryota; Fungi. The record is from RNAcentral.